UAGGGAAUCUUCCACAAUGGACGCAAGUCUGAUGGAGCAACGCCGCGUGAGUGAAGAAGGGUUUCGGCUCGUAAAACUCUGUUGUUAAAGAAGAACAUAUCUGAGAGUAACUGUUCAGGUAUUGACGGUAUUUAACCAGAAAGCCACGGCUAACUACGUGCCAA
RNAcentral lists this ribosomal RNA (164 nucleotides) under uncultured bacterium. RNAcentral describes it as "partial 16S ribosomal RNA". It matches the Rfam family "Bacterial small subunit ribosomal RNA", at positions 355 to 511 of the family's 1533-position model. The record is from RNAcentral.